Pogona vitticeps (central bearded dragon) is the source of this 865-nucleotide non-coding RNA. Lineage: Eukaryota; Metazoa; Chordata; Lepidosauria; Squamata; Agamidae. The record is from RefSeq and is a predicted model, not a curated record.
GACAGAUCCCAGACCCAGGCGCUACUGUUGGGCAGAUUGAGUUUCUGAGGCAAAAAAGCCCGCGUCCUUCCGCCCCCUUUCCCUCCUUUCUCCACUGACGCCUCCCCCCCCCCAAAAAAAGCCACAGCCUGGCUUGACAAGGGAGGGAAGCGCUUUGCCCCGAGUCUCCCAGCCCCAUUUCUCCCGUUCGAGCGGGAAACAUUGAGGGCGGCUUCCCUGCUGGGUUUCAAGACGCCCUCCACGCCGCCCUUCCUUCUUCCCGCCCUCCCCUUCUCGCCUCUUCUCAGCCUCUCUCCCCCCUCAAAGAUCCUCACCAGGAAAACGCCGGACGGAAAGGCGCUCUUCAGAUAACCCGAGCGGGCGGAGCUCCUUUUGGCAGGCCCGGAGGCGACGGCGUCCAACAAAGGGGGCUCUUGAUUCCUCUUCCCCUCCGGUCCGCCCGCCCUCCCUUCCCUCGAACCCAUGCAGGCGGGAAAGGCCGAAAGCGCCGACCCUGGAACUGCUGGCAGGAAGGGAAUGAGGUGUAUAGAAAGAGGCCAUUUGGGAUUUCCCGCUGGGUACUGAGUGGCCGAGACACACCCCAGGGAUGAUGGAAGUGAGGGUGUCUUGGAUCUCGGUUGUUCCAGGAGUUAAGCCAGGGAGUAAUCGAGGCCGAGGACGGAGUCUACAGCACGAUCCACCAACCUAUGAAACGCGAGGCUUUUGGGGAUGAAAUCGCCGUGCAACCCAAAUCCUCCGUUUGCUCCAUCGCUCUGACUUCUUGGAAGCUUGCUCUCAAGCACAAUCACUGCGACCGAACCAACCACCCAAAGAUCUCCAUACAGUUCAGCAUUUAAAAAUGCUAAUUCGUCAGUAUGUUCUGUUU